Molecule: ribosomal RNA, 301 nt
Filed under: uncultured bacterium
Lineage: Bacteria
Description: partial 16S ribosomal RNA
Rfam family: Bacterial small subunit ribosomal RNA
Source: RNAcentral
CAGUCGCCGCGGUAAUACGUAGGUGGCAAGCGUUGUCCGGAAUUAUUGGGCGUAAAGGGCUCGCAGGCGGUUUCUUAAGUCUGAUGUGAAAGCCCCCGGCUCAACCGGGGAGGGUCAUUGGAAACUGGGAAACUUGAGUGCAGAAGAGGAGAGUGGAAUUCCACGUGUAGCGGUGAAAUGCGUAGAGAUGUGGAGGAACACCAGUGGCGAAGGCGACUCUCUGGUCUGUAACUGACGCUGAGGGGCGAAAGCGUGGGGAGCGAACAGGAUUAGAUACCCGCGUAGUCCCUGUCUCUUAUAC